AUACGUAGGGUGCAAGCGUUAAUCGGAAUUACUGGGCGUAAAGCGUGCGCAGGCGGUUUUGUAAGACAGUGGUGAAAUCCCCGGGCUCAACCUGGGAACUGCCAUUGUGACUGCAUCGCUGGAGUGCGGCAGAGGGGGAUGGAAUUCCGCGUGUAGCAGUGAAAUGCGUAGAUAUGCGGAGGAACACCGAUGGCGAAGGCAAUCCCCUGGGCCUGCACUGACGCUCAUGCACGAAAGCGUGGGGAGC
RNAcentral lists this ribosomal RNA (247 nucleotides) under uncultured bacterium. RNAcentral describes it as "partial 16S ribosomal RNA". It matches the Rfam family "Bacterial small subunit ribosomal RNA", at positions 523 to 769 of the family's 1533-position model. The record is from RNAcentral.